AGCCAAAGCUCUCCCUUAUCCUCUGACCUCUUAGUUUGCUACUGCUUAUUGCAUUUGCUCUUCCAUCGACUCUUAUGAAGGUGGUGGAGGGAGAGAACUUUAAAUGGAUUUCUGUCAGAAAUGGGAAAUCGUUCUCGAGCUGCCGCACCUCCACAGGUCUGGUUAGAGCGUGAUAGAAGUUGGUCAAAGUUUAUUGAAAGGAGAGGGAAAACGGUCUGAACAGGGGGGCGGCUAACGACAGACUGGAACUCAAUGCAGAUAACGAGCCGCAAACAAUAUGCAGAGCUUUGGCCGUUAUCACCGCCUGUCCUGGCAUGCCCCCCUGGCCCGGUGCGGAAUGAACUAUUUCCGCCGGAGGGUUGCACUGCGGGUUGAGUAGGGGCUAAUUGAUCUGCUCCGGGUGACGGUGUCCGCCUGGGCCGUGAGAGGGGAUUGACGUGCCCAUUUUAGUACAAUCCCGGGCCGAGGUCAGAGGGCCUGCAUUCUCGCUUCCUUCAGCUUGAUUGGUGAGACUUCCUUAAACCCUCUUGGAUCACUAACUGCAUCUGCUUUUCCAGAAGAUCAAUUUAAAAUGGUGCGUCCCAUCUCGGCGCAGCUGUGAUCUGGGUGAACUCGCACUGGCAUCCCUGCGAAGGCCAGUCAAGAAGGGAGACCUCUGCACUAAAUCCACUCUCACCAUUGACAGCAGAUUGUACACUUUCCAAGAUGCUGGAGUGAAACUCUGGAACCUGUCCAUUUAUGAAACUUCUCUUUUUAUUUGGAUUUUUUUAUUUUCUAUUUUUUUUUUGCAAAGCCGUUUUAUCUCCAAAUUGGGAUCACCAGUGCAACCCCUAGAAGCUCAAGCUGACGCACAGACAUUAAGCCUGCGUACUCUGGAGCAUUUCUGAUAAAGGCUGAAGUGACCAGGUGUAAAACAGAAUACAUCCAUAAACACCUGUAGAGUGUGCUGGAAUGAGCUGGUGGUGAGGAGAAAGAGACAGGCUGUCACACUCAGCAACAGAAGCACAUGAUGUGUUGGGCGGGCUGCAGACCAAACACCCAGACGCAGCCCUCAUCGUGCUGAGAGACUUUAACAAGGUGGCCACAUUCUACCAACACAUCAAGUGCCCCACCGGAAUAUAAACAAGGGAUGGGACGGGAGGAGGUGGUGUUGCGUUCAGGGCCUGGACCGCCCUCAAAGACCCCGCUUCAGGACACACUGAGUGAUGUCAGCGAGUUUAUGGAAGUGGUGAUGAGCUUCAUAGCAAUGACUGAGGAUGUUGUUGUUGUUGUGCCUACAGUGAAGGCUAAGUCAUUUCCUCACCAUGACUAACUAAAUUGCAUCGUGCUACAGGCUGAGGCAUGUGGUGAAGGAGGCCAAGCAAUGUUACAGGGACAGAAUGGAGUCUCAGUAUCACCAGAACUCCAGACGCAUGUGGCAAGGUCUACGGGACAUUGUUUCAGGUACCUGGGUGUACACAUCACAGAGGACCUAACAUGGACAUUACACUCGGACACUUUAGUCAGGAAGGCAAGGCAGCGCCUGUCCCACCUAAGACGUUUGAGGAAACACAAGGCCUCCCAAACCUUCUACUCUGCCACUACGCAAAGCAUCCUGACAGGAAGCAUCACCGUCUGGUACAGAACCUGCUUCUCUCAGGACCGAAGAGCCCUGCAGGGAGUUGUGUGGUCGGCUGAGCGCUGCAUGGGGACCCUCCUCCCUACACUGCAGGACACGUACUCCAGGAGGUGUUUAAGCAGAGCCAGGAGGAUUAUGAAGGAUCCUCACCACAGACUUCUUGUUACGCUUCAAGGAAAUGCCUUCAAUGCCUCAAAGCUAACACAGAGAGGGUUUCUUCAAUGCCUUGAACAAAGACUCAAAAUUUUUAA
This is a long non-coding RNA of Conger conger (European conger), 1869 nucleotides long. RefSeq lists it as uncharacterized. Lineage: Eukaryota; Metazoa; Chordata; Actinopteri; Anguilliformes; Congridae. The record is from RefSeq and is a predicted model, not a curated record. The transcript has 3 exons.